This 414-nucleotide ribosomal RNA is filed under the name uncultured bacterium. RNAcentral describes it as "bacterial SSU rRNA". It matches the Rfam family "Bacterial small subunit ribosomal RNA", at positions 355 to 786 of the family's 1533-position model. The record is from RNAcentral.
UGGGGAAUAUUGCACAAUGGGGAAACCCUGAUGCAGCAACGCCGCGUGAAGGAAGACGGUUUUCGGAUUGUAAACUUCUGUUCUUAGUGAAGAAUAAUGACGGUAGCUAAGGAGCAAGCCACGGCUAACUACGUGCCAGCAGCCGCGGUAAUACGUAGGUGGCAAGCGUUGUCCGGAAUUACUGGGUGUAAAGGGAGCGCAGGCGGGAGACCAAGUCAGCUGUGAAAACUACGGGCUUAACCUGUAGACUGCGGUUGAAACUGGUUUUCUUGAGUGAAGUAGAGGUUGGCGGAAUUCCGAGUGUAGCGGUGAAAUGCGUAGAUAUUCGGAGGAACACCGGUGGCGAAGGCGGCCAACUGGGCUUUAACUGACGCUGAGGCUCGAAAGUGUGGGGAGCAAACAGGAUUAGAUACC